GGUCAAGUGAAGAAGCGCAUACGGUGGAUGCCUUGGCAGUCAGAGGCGAUGAAAGACGUGGUAGCCUGCGAAAAGCUUCGGGGAGUCGGCAAACAGACUUUGAUCCGGAGAUCUCUGAAUGGGGGAACCCACCUAGGAUAACCUAGGUAUCUUGUACUGAAUCCAUAGGUGCAAGAGGCGAACCAGGGGAACUGAAACAUCUAAGUACCCUGAGGAAAAGAAAUCAACCGAGAUUCCCUUAGUAGUGGCGAGCGAACGGGGAUUAGCCCUUAAGCUUUAUUGAUUUUAGCGGAACGCUCUGGAAAGUGCGGCCAUAGUGGGUGAUAGCCCCGUACGCGAAAGGAUCUUUGAAGUGAAAUCGAGUAGGACGGAGCACGAGAAACUUUGUCUGAACAUGGGGGGACCAUCCUCCAAGGCUAAAUACUACUGACUGACCGAUAGUGAACCAGUACCGUGAGGGAAAGGCGAAAAGAACCCCGGAGAGGGGAGUGAAAUAGAACCUGAAACCGUAUGCGUACAAGCAGUGGGAGCCUACUUGUUAGGUGACUGCGUACCUUUUGUAUAAUGGGUCAGCGACUUAUAUUCAGUGGCAAGCUUAACCGUAUAGGGUAGGCGUAGCGAAAGCGAGUCUUAAUAGGGCGUUUAGUCGCUGGGUAUAGACCCGAAACCGGGCGAUCUAUCCAUGAGCAGGUUGAAGGUUAGGUAACACUGACUGGAGGACCGAACCCACUCCCGUUGAAAAGGUAGGGGAUGACUUGUGGAUCGGAGUGAAAGGCUAAUCAAGCUCGGAGAUAGCUGGUUCUCCUCGAAAGCUAUUUAGGUAGCGCCUCAUGUAUCACUCUGGGGGGUAGAGCACUGUUUCGGCUAGGGGGUCAUCCCGACUUACCAAACCGAUGCAAACUCCGAAUACCCAGAAGUGCCGAGCAUGGGAGACACACGGCGGGUGCUAACGUCCGUCGUGAAAAGGGAAACAACCCAGACCGCCAGCUAAGGUCCCAAAGUUGUGGUUAAGUGGUAAACGAUGUGGGAAGGCUUAGACAGCUAGGAGGUUGGCUUAGAAGCAGCCAUCCUUUAAAGAAAGCGUAAUAGCUCACUAGUCGAGUCGGCCUGCGCGGAAGAUGUAACGGGGCUCAAACCACACACCGAAGCUGCGGGUGUCACGUAAGUGACGCGGUAGAGGAGCGUUCUGUAAGCCUGUGAAGGUGAGUUGAGAAGCUUGCUGGAGGUAUCAGAAGUGCGAAUGCUGACAUGAGUAACGACAAUGGGUGUGAAAAACACCCACGCCGAAAGACCAAGGGUUCCUGCGCAACGUUAAUCGACGCAGGGUUAGUCGGUUCCUAAGGCGAGGCUGAAAAGCGUAGUCGAUGGGAAACAGGUUAAUAUUCCUGUACUUCUGGUUACUGCGAUGGAGGGACGGAGAAGGCUAGGCCAGCUUGGCGUUGGUUGUCCAAGUUUAAGGUGGUAGGCUGAAAUCUUAGGUAAAUCCGGGGUUUCAAGGCCGAGAGCUGAUGACGAGUCGUCUUUUAGAUGACGAAGUGGUUGAUGCCAUGCUUCCAAGAAAAGCUUCUAAGCUUCAGGUAACCAGGAACCGUACCCCAAACCGACACAGGUGGUCGGGUAGAGAAUACCAAGGCGCUUGAGAGAACUCGGGUGAAGGAACUAGGCAAAAUGGCACCGUAACUUCGGGAGAAGGUGCGCCGGCUAGGGUGAAGGAUUUACUCCGUAAGCUCUGGCUGGUCGAAGAUACCAGGCCGCUGCGACUGUUUAUUAAAAACACAGCACUCUGCAAACACGAAAGUGGACGUAUAGGGUGUGACGCCUGCCCGGUGCCGGAAGGUUAAUUGAUGGGGUUAGCGCAAGCGAAGCUCUUGAUCGAAGCCCCGGUAAACGGCGGCCGUAACUAUAACGGUCCUAAGGUAGCGAAAUUCCUUGUCGGGUAAGUUCCGACCUGCACGAAUGGCGUAACGAUGGCGGCGCUGUCUCCACCCGAGACUCAGUGAAAUUGAAAUCGCUGUGAAGAUGCAGUGUAUCCGCGGCUAGACGGAAAGACCCCGUGAACCUUUACUGUAGCUUUGCACUGGACUUUGAGCCUGCUUGUGUAGGAUAGGUGGGAGGCUUUGAAGCGUGGACGCCAGUUCGCGUGGAGCCAUCCUUGAAAUACCACCCUGGCAUGCUUGAGGUUCUAACUCUGGUCCGUGAUCCGGAUCGAGGACAGUGUAUGGUGGGCAGUUUGACUGGGGCGGUCUCCUCCUAAAGAGUAACGGAGGAGUACGAAGGUGCGCUCAGACCGGUCGGAAAUCGGUCGCAGAGUAUAAAGGCAAAAGCGCGCUUGACUGCGAGACAGACACGUCGAGCAGGUACGAAAGUAGGUCUUAGUGAUCCGGUGGUUCUGUAUGGAAGGGCCAUCGCUCAACGGAUAAAAGGUACUCCGGGGAUAACAGGCUGAUACCGCCCAAGAGUUCAUAUCGACGGCGGUGUUUGGCACCUCGAUGUCGGCUCAUCACAUCCUGGGGCUGAAGCCGGUCCCAAGGGUAUGGCUGUUCGCCAUUUAAAGUGGUACGCGAGCUGGGUUUAGAACGUCGUGAGACAGUUCGGUCCCUAUCUGCCGUGGACGUUUGAGAUUUGAGAGGGGCUGCUCCUAGUACGAGAGGACCGGAGUGGACGAACCUCUGGUGUUCCGGUUGUCACGCCAGUGGCAUUGCCGGGUAGCUAUGUUCGGAAAAGAUAACCGCUGAAAGCAUCUAAGCGGGAAACUUGCCUCAAGAUGAGAUCUCACUGGGAACUUGAUUCCCCUGAAGGGCCGUCGAAGACUACGACGUUGAUAGGCUGGGUGUGUAAGCGUUGUGAGGCGUUGAGCUAACCAGUACUAAUUGCCCGUGAGGCUUGACCAU
This 2891-nucleotide ribosomal RNA is filed under the name Pseudomonas aeruginosa. Its description in RNAcentral is "23S ribosomal RNA". It matches the Rfam family "Bacterial large subunit ribosomal RNA". The record is from RNAcentral. Lineage: Bacteria; Pseudomonadati; Pseudomonadota; Gammaproteobacteria; Pseudomonadales; Pseudomonadaceae.